GACGAACGCUGGCGGCGUGCUUAACACAUGCAAGUCGAACGGUGAAGCCCAGCUUGCUGGGUGGAUCAGUGGCGAACGGGUGAGUAACACGUGAGCAACCUGCCCCUGACUCUGGGAUAAGCGCUGGAAACGGUGUCUAAUACUGGAUAUGUGAUGUGACCGCAUGGUCUGCGUCUGGAAAGAUUUUUCGGUUGGGGAUGGGCUCGCGGCCUAUCAGCUUGUUGGUGAGGUAAUGGCUCACCAAGGCGUCGACGGGUAGCCGGCCUGAGAGGGUGACCGGCCACACUGGGACUGAGACACGGCCCAGACUCCUACGGGAGGCAGCAGUGGGGAAUAUUGCACAAUGGGCGGAAGCCUGACGCAGCAACGCCGCGUGCGGGAUGACGGCCUUCGGGUUGUAAACCGCUUUCAGUGGGAAAGAUAAUGACGGUACCCACACAAGAAGCUCCGGCUAAAUACGUGCCAGCAGCCGCAGUAAGAC
Molecule: ribosomal RNA, 481 nt
Filed under: uncultured bacterium
Lineage: Bacteria
Description: bacterial SSU rRNA
Rfam family: Bacterial small subunit ribosomal RNA
Source: RNAcentral